Molecule: ribosomal RNA, 301 nt
Filed under: uncultured bacterium
Lineage: Bacteria
Description: partial 16S ribosomal RNA
Rfam family: Bacterial small subunit ribosomal RNA
Source: RNAcentral
CAGCAGCCGCGGUAAAACGUAGGUGGCGAGCGUUGUCCGGAAUUAUUGGGCAUAAAGGGCAUCUAGGCGGCCUAACAAGUCAGGGGUGAAAACCUGCGGCUCAACCGCAGGCCUGCCUUUGAAACUGUAAGGCUGGAGUACCGGAGAGGUGGACGGAACUGCACGAGUAGAGGUGAAAUUCGUAGAUAUGUGCAGGAAUGCCGAUGAUGAAGAUAGUCCACUGGACGGAAACUGACGCUGAAGUGCGAAAGCCGGGGGAGCGAACAGGAUUAGAUACCCCCGUAGUCCCUGUCUCUUAUAA